RNAcentral lists this long non-coding RNA (3747 nucleotides) under Salmo salar (Atlantic salmon). RNAcentral describes it as "lncRNA (ENSSSAG00000098059.1)". Lineage: Eukaryota; Metazoa; Chordata; Actinopteri; Salmoniformes; Salmonidae. The record is from RNAcentral.
AACAAUUGUUGGAAAAAUUACUUGUGUCAUGCACAAAGUAGAUGUCCUAACCGACUUGCCAAAACUAUAGUUCGUUAACAAGAAAUUUGUGGAGUGGUUGAAAAACUAGUUUUAAUGACUCCAACCUAAGUGUAUGUAAACUUCCGACUUCAAUUGUAGCCUAGUGUUUAGAGCGUUGGGCCAAUAACUGAAAGGUUGCCAGAUCGAAUCCCUGAGCUGACAAGCUAAAUAUCUGUCGUUCUGCCCCUGAACAAGGCAGUUAACCCACUGUUCCUAGGCUGUCAUUGUAAAUAAGAAUUUGUUCUUAACUGACUUGCCUAGUUAAAUACGUUUUUUUUUUUUUUAAGUAAAUGUAACCACUCAAAUUCAUAGACAGGGCUAUGGAUGCAAGGACUGACUGUCCAUGAAAUCAAAAUCAUAGUUUUAACCAUGUUUUGGGGCUAUAGUGUUUGUUUACAUUUUAUUGUUUACAGACAGAGGAGUAAAAUAAGCUUAUUUUGGGUUCUGGUGGGGUACGACUGUUGAUCGAAGCUCAUGAGAUUCCAAGAUUCCUUUAAAGAUUUCCAAGAUGGCGUAGCAGUCAGAUGUCUUUGUCUUGUCUCGUCCCGUCCCAUGCAUAUAUAUUUUUAUUCGCAUUCUUUUUAAUAUUUUCCUAAACCUCAACUUCAAAAUACUCUCCUGCAACCCGCCACACCCAAUGUGGUGUGGAUCUGUUUUUUUUUUCUAAAGUAUUUCUAUUUACCUCCGAACUGGAAUACCUCAACUGAAGCAGCUAGCUAGCUAGCUAACUAGCUAUCAGCUAUCAGUCAGCUAACCACUGCUAGCGGUCAUCAGCUAACCUUUAGCUCGGAAAGCUCUCGCCAGUUCGUACAACGCGUUUCAAACCAGAGCAUACCGGACCUAUUUUUCUCUCCAUAUCCCCGGAUUCCUACCGCAAACUCUGAACCUUUUCAUCUGGAUCAUGGCAGCUAGCUAACCGCAACCCGGGUUGACUACUCCUGGCUAACGUUUCCGUCCCGGAGCUAGCACCAACUAGCCUGGAGCUAGCCCAUGCUAGCCCCAUCUCCCGGCUAGGGCUCCUGGGCUACUCCUGAAGCCCACUCCUCGGCUACAGUAUCCAGACUCCUACUGCCGGUACAGGGCACGGAACCCCGCCGAUCCUUCACGACUGGAAUACUGACAUAAUCUGCCCGAGAAUCCCAACAGGCCCCUCAGGCGCGACGUCCCCUGAAGGCCCAUUCUGCUAACCGCGGCCUGCUAGCUAUCUAUAGCAUAUUGGACUGUUAGCUGAUCCAUCGGCCAGUUUCUUGGACCAGUAUACCCAUUUUGCCAAGUGGACUUGGACCCCUCUGCUACUUGGAACCCUACUAAUUCCACGACUGGUCUAUCGACGUCACUGCAAGGAGGAGGCAAAAACAGACUUUUCCCCACCGCGACGUCCCUCUAAGGCCCUUAUGCUAGCUUGCUAGCCUCGGUCUGCUAACUGCUAGCUUGCUAGCCUUGGCCUGCUAACUGUCUGAAUCGCCGUGUCCCCAGCCGGCCCAACCACUCACUGAACCCAUUCGAUCACUUGGCUACGCAUGCCUCUCCCUAAUAUCAAUAUGCCUUGUCCAUUACUGUCCUGGUUAGUGAUUACUGUCUCAUUUCACUGUAGAGCCUCUAGCCCUGCUCAAUAUGCCUUAACCAACCAUGUUGUUCCACCUCCCACAUAUGCGAUGACAUCACCUGGUUUAAACGUCUCUAGAGACUAUAUCUCCCUCAUCAUUACUCAAUGCCUAGGUUUACCUCCAAUGUUCUCUCUUCCUACCAUACCUUUGUCUGUACAUUAUGCUAUUGUGCCCAGAAACCUGCUCCCUUUACUCUCUGUUCCGAACGUGCUAGACGGCCAGUUCUUAUAGCCUUUAGCCAUACCCUACUUCUCCUCUGUUCCUCUGGUGAUGUAGAGGUUAAUCCAGGACCUGCAGUGCCUAGCUCCACUCCUACUCCCCAGGUGCUCUCAUUUGUUGACUUCUGUAACCGUAAAACCCUUGGUUUCAUGCAUGUUAACAUUAGAAGCCUACUCCCUAAGUUUGCUUUAUUCACUGCUUUAGCACAUUCUGCCAACCCGGAUGUCUUAGCAGUGUCUGAAUUCUGGCUUAGGAAAACCACCAAAAACCCUGAAAUUUCCAUCCCUAACUAUAACAUUUUCCGUCAAGAUAGAACUGCCAAAGGGGGCGGUGUUGCAAUCUACUGCAGAGAUAGCCUGCAGAGUUCUGUCUUACUAUCCAGGUCUGUACCAAAACAAUCGAAGUUCUACUACUAAAAAUUCACCUUUCCAGAAACAAGUCUCACACCGUUGCCGCUUGCUAUAGACAACCUUCUGCCCCCAGCUGUGCUCUGGACACCAUAUGUGAACUGAUUGCCCCCCAUCUAUCUUCUGAGCUCGUGCUGCUAGGUGACCUAAACUGGGACAUGCUUAACACCCCGGCCAUCCUACAAUCUAAGCUUGAUGCCCUCAAGCUCACAAAUUAUCAAUGAACCUACAAGGUACAACCCCAAAUCCGUAAACACGGGCACCCUCAUAGAUAUCAUCCUAACUAACUCGCCCUCCAAAUACACCUCUGACGUUUUCAACCAAGAUCUCAACGAUCACUGCAGCAUUGCCUGCAUCUGUAAUGGGUCUGCGGUCAAACGACCACCCCUCAUCACUGUCAAACGUUCCCUAAAACACUUCAGCGAACAGGCCUUUCUAAAUCAACCUGGCCGGGGUAUCCUGGAAUGACAUUGACCUCAUCCCGUCAGUAGAGGAUGCCUGGUUAUUCUUUAAAAGUGCCUUCCUCACCAUCUUAAAUAAGCAUGCUCCAUUCCAUUUUUUUUAACUAGGAAUAGAUAUAGCCCAUGGUUCACUCCAGACCUGUCUGCCCUUGACCAGCACAAAAACAUCCUGUGGCGUACUGCAUUAGCAUCAAAUAGCCCCCGUGAUAUGCAGCUUUUCAGGGAAGUUAGGAACCAAUAUACACAGGCAUUUAGGAAAGCUAAGGCUAGAUUUUUCAAACAGAAAUUUGCAUCCUGUAGUACAAACUCAAAAAAUAUUUGGACCAAUAUUUCCAUGACACUAGCUAACUUGAGUUGGCUAACUAGCGGCUAACAUUAAUAGAAGCUAGCUAGUAGCGUCACGCAUCUUCAGACGAAACCCAGAGGAAACUCUAGAAUUUCCGGUAUCUAGAGUUGCCAUCUGGUCUCUUCACUGUUCGCCUUUAACCAGGGAUCAAAAUCACCUUAGAAUCACAGUUACCUACUUUAACUUCAAAACUAGCCCAGUCUUCUCCCGCUAGCGCUUGCUAUUGGUGGAAACGUACUGAACUCUUGCUGUGCCCAAUCGAACUGGCAAGCUAGGACUGAUGAUUUGGUUAGCUAGACUAGGAAGUAUGGUUGCUUGGUAACCAUGGCAACUAAUGUAGCUAUGUAGUAUAAACUUUCUAGCUACUUCAGUGGAUGUUGAACAAAUUUCUACUGGCAAAUGAACACAUUUAUAGCCAUGUGGUGGGGGAGUGCCAAGCCAAGAUGGAGGAGCUGUGGCUUCAAAACAGAGCCCCCUGUCAGUCAAUGGUUGCGACCCCAUGUGGUCAUUGUUAAAAGUAUGUGUGUAAUCAUGGAAUGGUUUUGACUCUGUGCCAUCUUUUGAUUAUUUGUUUGUGGUGAAAGUAGGCCUACAUCCGUUUUUAUUUGAUAAUGCACUGAUUUAUUAAUUUGUUUUAAUGUUUGCUA